Molecule: ribosomal RNA, 537 nt
Filed under: Triticum aestivum (bread wheat)
Lineage: Eukaryota; Viridiplantae; Streptophyta; Magnoliopsida; Poales; Poaceae
Description: partial small subunit ribosomal RNA
Source: RNAcentral
AUGACAUCUCCGACAUGCUCGACUGACUUCGAAUCUGACACCCAGUCCCUGGUCGGAGCUAUGAGGAAGAAGAUCAGUAUGCCGGACAAGAUGAAAAAGAUGCAAAAGCGUCUACAGAAGAUAACAGAGGACCAUCAGAACUAUCAUCUCCUGCCAGAAACUCGCAGCAAUGAGCCGCAACUUCCUGAUAUCCGGGAAAAUGCAGGGACUAUGGUGGAAGCAGAAAUCAUCGGGAGGGCAGAGGAAAAACUGGAAAUCUUGGCUCCAUUAUCUGGGAGCACAACUGAACAUACCACCUUUGUUCCCAUAUGGGGCUUGGGAGGCAUUGGAAAGUCCACCUUGGCAAGAUUGGUUUACAAUCAUCCUGAGUUUGAAAAACACUCUCGGGUAUGGGUCUAUGUUUCCCAGAUAUUUGACUUGAAAAAAAUUGGCAACACUAUAAUAUCACAACUAUCAAGACAACAAAGCCAGCAGAUACUUGAUCUGCACAGUAUUAACAUUCACCUUCAAGAGCUACUUGGAAGAAGAAUGCUUUGA